This 309-nucleotide ribosomal RNA is filed under the name uncultured bacterium. RNAcentral describes it as "bacterial SSU rRNA". It matches the Rfam family "Bacterial small subunit ribosomal RNA", at positions 208 to 507 of the family's 1533-position model. The record is from RNAcentral.
GGACCUUGCGCUAUUGGAUGAGCCUAUGUCGGAUUAGUUAGUUGGUGGGGUAAAGGCCGUACCAAGGCAGCGAUCCGUAGCUGGUCUUAGAGGAUGAUCAGCCACAUCGGGACUGAGACACGGCCCGAACUCCUACGGGAGGCAGCAGUGGGGAAUAUUGCACAAUGGGCGCAAGCCUGAUGCAGCUAUGCCGCGUGUGUGAAGAAGGCCUUAGGGUUGUAAAGCACUUUCAGUAGUGAGGAAAAAGUGUUGCGUUAAUAGCGCAAUGCUGUGACGUUAGCUACAGAAGAAGGACCGGCAAACUCCGUG